CCUACGGGAGGCAGCAGUGAGGAAUAUUGGUCAAUGGACGAGAGUCUGAACCAGCCAAGUAGCGUGAAGGAUGACUGCCCUAUGGGUUGUAAACUUCUUUUAUAAAGGAAUAAAACGAGGCACGUGUGCCUUUUUGCAUGUACUUUAUGAAUAAGGAUCGGCUAACUCCGUGCCAGCAGCCGCGGUAAUACGGAGGAUCCGAGCGUUAGCAGGAUUUAUUGGGUUUAAAGGGAGCGUAGAUGGGUUGUUAAGUCAGUUGUGAAAGUUUGCGGCUCAACCGGAAAAUUGCAAUUGAUACUGGCAGUCUUGAGUACAGGUGAGGUAGGCGGAAUGCGUGGUGUAGCGGUGAAAUGCUUAGAUAUCACGAAGAACCCCGAUUGCGAAGGCAGCUUGCUAAACUGUGACUGACAUUGAUGCUCGAAAGUGUGGGUAUCAAACAGGAUUAGAUACCCGGGUAGUC
This 460-nucleotide ribosomal RNA is filed under the name uncultured bacterium. RNAcentral's name for it is "partial 16S ribosomal RNA". It matches the Rfam family "Bacterial small subunit ribosomal RNA", at positions 338 to 795 of the family's 1533-position model. The record is from RNAcentral.